Molecule: non-coding RNA, 285 nt
Organism: Biomphalaria pfeifferi
Lineage: Eukaryota; Metazoa; Mollusca; Gastropoda; Planorbidae
Source: the annotation of a GenBank genome assembly
UGAGAAUAGAGCAUUGCGUCUUUAAUUUUUCAAUUCCAAUUAUUAAACCACACUCUCGUCAUAGUCUUUAUAAAAAUAGAAUUAUUUAUUUUUUUUAGAAAUAUUUACUUUUUAGAAAUAUUUACUUUCCACAAUUUUUCAUUGUCCUUACAAGCUGAAAUCUCGCACAUAAACUCAGAAAGAUAUCGUGAUUGAUUAUUGAAUCAAUAUUUGUGUAUGUGUAUUUAUCAUUAGAGCCCAGUGCUUCAUCUAUGAGACUCAGAGGAAAUUCUAUUGUUUUUAUUG